AAAAAGGACUUCUGUUGUGAGUGGCACAUGUAGGGCAGCUCUAUUGCUCUUCUUGCAGAACUGACAUCAAGAGAUUUCAGAAACGUAAUUUUUGGUACCUGGACAGCUGUUGAUCAUUGGUCCCUGUGCUUCCCC
This is a small nuclear RNA of Neogale vison (American mink), 135 nucleotides long. Lineage: Eukaryota; Metazoa; Chordata; Mammalia; Carnivora; Mustelidae. The record is from Ensembl.